AUUCAGGGAUUCAGCUUCUUCCUGGUUUAGUCUUUUAAAUUUCGCCAUUCUGAUGGGUAUGCAGUGAAAUCUCAUUGUGGUUUUAAUUUGCAUUUUCCUGAUGACUGAUGAUGUUUAGCGCCUAUUCAAAUGCUCAGUGGACAUCUGGAUAUUUUCUUUUGCCCAUUUGUAUUGAUUUGUUUGUCUUUUUCUUAUUGAUUUGUAGGAAUUCUUUAAAGAUUUGGAUGUAAUCUGUUUGUCAGAUAAAUGUAUUGCAAAAGAUUUUCCCAGCCUGUGGCUUGCCUUUUCAGUCUUUUAAUCACAGUAUGCUGUAGUGUUUUUUUAAAAAAAACUUUUAUUUUGGAAUAAUUAUAGAUUCACAGAACAUUGCAAAAAUAGUACGGAGAGGUCACCCAGUUUCCCCCAAUGGUUACAUCUUACAUAACUACAGUACAAUAUCAAACCCAGGAAGUUGACAUUGGUACAAUGUGUGUAUAGUUUUAUGCCAUUUUAUACCAUGUGUAUCACUGCAAUUCAGACACAGAACUACCCCCAUCACUGCAAGGAUCUCCUUCAUGCUAUUCCUUUAUAGUCACACCCAUCCCCUUCUCCAGUCCCCCGUCAUCUGUAACCCCUGGUAAUCACUACUUUCUUCUCUAUCUGUACAAUUUAGUCGUUUCAAGAAUGUUACAUAAAUGGAAUCAUAGAGUGCAUGAUUUUUUGAAACUGGCUUUUUUCCACCCAGCAUAAUGCCCUUGAGUUCCAUCCAAACCAUUUUUACAUGUAGAAAACUUAUGUUACUUAUGCUACUUUGCAUUACUUGAUUAUUUAUGUUCGAUAAGGGAAUAAACCAGUUUGUUUUGUUACUAUAAAUAGAUUCUUGUCUUUCAUGUAAACACACCAAGAUAAUUCCCUGGGAUUUAAAUAUUCAGCCCUAGGUGCCAGACACGCUGUCCAUGGAGGAGGCCCACACACUACCCACAUCUGGUGGGCCGGGGAAAGGGACAUCAUGAACUUAUGUCCUGCAAGUCACAAUUAUGGCUUCCAUUAUUGCCGGUGGUCCACAGAGGCCUCUGCAUUCGUGUUACCGAUGUGGAAGAAGGAAAUACAAUAGAAUCAAAACUGCUCUUUUUAUGGUUCAAGGAUAAUGAGGAAAACAGAUGACUCAUUUUGCUUUUAAGAAUGAUGAAACACACAGGUUUCAAAAUGGGACAUAUUAAGAACCUCAUUUGUUACGAUCACUUUCAGGAGAAACUGGAAUAUCCUUUCUGAAUGCAAAAGUGUCCAGUCCAUGGUGCUCACUUUAUUGCUGGAGAUAACAUUCUCUGAAGUCUAAUUUCCCUUUCCGCCUUCGGUUCCUCUGCAGCUUCUUCUCCCAAGGCACCAUGUCCUCACGCCUUCCCUAAGGUGUCUGCCAUAAGCGCUAAAUUUUGAGCGGUUCUGUGGUUGCGCAUGCUAAUCAACAGCUUGCAAAACACCUCUGCCUUUCACUUUGAAAGGGACACACUUGGUGGUGUUUUAUGUCAAUUGAUUCUCUUUGUAUUCAACUGCAUAUUAUAAUAUCACAGAAGAUAUUCACAGAAUAUGACAGAAGGUCAUCGAUGCAAGAAGUGGCUGUGGCCUUUCCUUUCAACUGGAGCAAUGGUGGUGAGGGGGAGGAGGAACAAAGGGGCUUUCUAGGGUGCCUGGUAAGUGUGCAAGGAAGAGAAUACAUCUAGGAUAGCUUGGGUAAGUGUGGGGCUACACUGGGAGACUGCACAUUGAGCAAUAAUAACAAAAAGUGCCUGGUGGCCAAGCUUCAUGGACAGUGGAGCCGGAGGGCCAUUUAUCAGUAAUCAUUUGGGUGUUACCUUGAAAUUACAUCCAGAUUCUAACCCUUUUUUUUUUUUUUUACUACCUCUGCCACUUCCGUCUUCCUCUCAGCCAUCAUCAUCUCUUGCUGAUGGGGUUACUGAAAUGGCUUCCUGUUUCUACCAUUGUGUGUCACCCUCCUACCCUCUCCCAGGAAGCCAGAUCUUUUAGAAAAUUGUGUCACUGUUUUGAUGAAUAUCCUUCAGUGGCUUCCUAUCUCACUUAGAAUAAAACCCCAAAUACUUCCUCUGGCCAAAAGCACCUAUGUAUUUCUCUGAGCCUUUUCUCACAUUCUCUCUCUUUUUCCAGACAUGCCAGCCUCCUUGCUGCUUCUUGGACAUAUCACAACACUCCCACCGUGGCCUUGUCUUUCCCAUCAAGCAUUGUCCCUCUUUCAAAUAUAGAUGUGAACUCAUCAGAAAAGGGAUGUGUUAGCAAUGUGUGUCUCCAAAGGCUAUUACGGUCUGAAUGCUGACGUAGCCCAUGAGCGAAUGUGUUGGAUCGCUGCCAUUGACAAACUUCAGGCCGUUUCUCAUGUCCCUGCACCCAGCUCUGAGAGGGCGUGGGGAUGAGUCACAGCAUGGAGUCCAGACCUGAGGGUGAUAGAUAGGUGAAGAUGGUCCUAGGACCAUCUUCCUCAGGGCUAUGCCGAGCAGGAAGAUGGCACGAGUGUUUUCCUAUGACACAGCUGUCUGAUAAAUUCCCACCGCAGCAAAGUUAAUACCUGGAUACACGGCGCCGACAGCCAACACAGAGAGCGAGGGGCACGCUAGGUAAGCCAUGUCUUCUGCUUUACUCCAAGAAAGACUCUGGAUAGCACAAGGCCUCCAGUAUAUUUUGACAGACUGUUUUGCACCAGAAAAGCUAAUUUGCUAUGAUUAGUUGCACUACAUUUGCGAGAUAGUUACUCUAUGUUUAUUUGGAAGGCAAAUGAGAGUAUCUUUUGGUGAUUUUUCUUUAAGAACUGAAGAAACUCUCUAAAUUUUCUUAAAAAAAAAAAAAAGCGACCAUGAAUAAAACCUCUUGGGUCCUGGGAAAUAGAAAUGUUUAUGCACCAUGAAAAGACAAAAGGGGCCCGCACCACUUACAAGCAGCCCCAGCAGAAACGCAGAGGGAGAGGAGGGAGCCGGAGGGCCCAGGGAAGCCAGGUAUAGCACUGAGGCCUGGGGGAGACUGAGCCAAUGGUGAGAGGGGAGAUGCAAGCUGGAGGAGCCUGAGCUAAAGGCCCAGAUCAGUCAGGAAGAAAUAGAGAGGCCUUUCAGAAAGUUCUCAGAGUAGCAGACAGGAAUAAAGGGAGAAUUGGAGGCUUCGUGGAGUAGCACUGGAGAGAGAGGGAGACCCUGGGGCUGAACACAGAGAAGUAGAACUUGAGAAAAGCUUGAUACUGAUGGGAAGACACCCUAAUCUCUUGCUCUCAUCUUUCUUUCUUUCUUUCCUUCCUUCCUUCCUUUUUCUUUCCUUCUUCUCUACUUUUCUCCCUCCCUCCCUUUCAGUCACACUCAUACACACACACACACACACACACACACACACAUAAUGUCUAAUACAUGUCUUGCUUUCUUCCAUGAAAUUCUAUGUGCUAUGCAAUAUAGGCCUCUUGGGCCAACUAUAAAUCAUCAAUAAAGUCUACAUUUCUCAUGAA
Macaca mulatta (Rhesus monkey) is the source of this 3472-nucleotide non-coding RNA. The record is from RefSeq and is a predicted model, not a curated record. Lineage: Eukaryota; Metazoa; Chordata; Mammalia; Primates; Cercopithecidae.